RNAcentral lists this ribosomal RNA (903 nucleotides) under Neuropogon sphacelatus. Its description in RNAcentral is "eukaryotic LSU rRNA". It matches the Rfam family "Eukaryotic large subunit ribosomal RNA", at positions 1 to 919 of the family's 3401-position model. Lineage: Eukaryota; Fungi; Ascomycota; Lecanoromycetes; Lecanorales; Parmeliaceae. The record is from RNAcentral.
AUUGACCUCGGAUCAGGUAGGGAUACCCGCUGAACUUAAGCAUAUCAAUAAGCGGAGGAAAAGAAACCAACAGGGAUUGCCUCAGUAACGGCGAGUGAAGCGGCAACAGCUCAAAUUUGAAAUCUGGCCCCGUCGGGGUCCGAGUUGUAAUUUGUAAAGAGUGUUUCGGGUGAGACCACGGUCUAAGUUCAUUGGAACAUGGCGUCAUAGAGGGUGAGAAUCCCGUAUGUGACUGUGGCUCGAGCCCAUGUGAAGCCUCUUCGACGAGUCGAGUUGUUUGGGAAUGCAGCUCAAAAUGGGUGGUAAAUUUCAUCUAAAGCUAAAUACUGGCUGGAGACCGAUAGCGCACAAGUAGAGUGAUCGAAAGAUGAAAAGCACUUUGGAAAGAGAGUCAAACAGUACGUGAAAUUGUUGAAAGGGAAGCGCUUGCAACCAGACCUGUCCGUAGGUGAUCAGCCGCUGUUCUCAGCGGUGCACUCGCUCUGCGAUCAGGCCAGCAUCGGUUUCGGCGGUUGGAUAAAGGCCUUGGGAAUGUAGCUCCCUUCGGGGAGUCUUAUAGCCCUCGGUGCAAUGCGGCCAGCCGGGACCGAGGACCGCGCUUCGGCUAAGAUGCUGGCGUAAUGGUUGUAAGCGAACCGUCUUGAAACACGGACCAAGGAGUCUAACAUCUAUGCGAGUGUUUGGGUGUUAAACCCAUGCGCGGAAUGAAAGUGAACGGAGGUGAGAACCCUUUAGGGCGCAUCAUCGACCGAUCCAGAUGUCUUCGGAUGGAUUUGAGUAUGAGCAUAGCUGUUGGGACCCGAAAGAUGGUGAACUAUGCCUGAAUAGGGUGAAGCCAGAGGAAACUCUGGUGGAGGCUCGCAGCGGUUCUGACGUGCAAAUCGAUCGUCAAAUUUGGGUAUA